RNAcentral lists this ribosomal RNA (253 nucleotides) under uncultured bacterium. Its description in RNAcentral is "partial 16S ribosomal RNA". It matches the Rfam family "Bacterial small subunit ribosomal RNA", at positions 524 to 776 of the family's 1533-position model. The record is from RNAcentral.
UACGUAGGGAGCAAGCGUUGUCCGGAAUCAUUGGGCGUAAAGCGCGCGUAGGCGGCCCCGUAAGUCCGCUGUGAAAGUCAAAGGCUCAACCUUUGAAAGCCGGUGGAUACUGUGGGGCUAGAGUCCGGAAGAGGCGAGUGGAAUUCCUGGUGUAGCGGUGGAAUGCGCAGAUAUCAGGAGGAACACCAAUAGCGAAGGCAGCUCGCUGGGACGGUACUGACGCUAAGGCGCGAAAGCGUGGGGAGCGAACUGG